RNAcentral lists this ribosomal RNA (499 nucleotides) under uncultured Levilinea sp. RNAcentral's name for it is "bacterial SSU rRNA". It matches the Rfam family "Bacterial small subunit ribosomal RNA", at positions 903 to 1382 of the family's 1533-position model. Lineage: Bacteria; Bacillati; Chloroflexota; Anaerolineae; Anaerolineales; Anaerolineaceae. The record is from RNAcentral.
CUAUGCGCCUUCGCCAGCCCGCUCAGAAACUUAAAGAAGUUGACGGGCCCCGCACAAGCAGCGGAGCGUGUGGUUUAAUUCGAUGCUACACGAAGAACCUUACCAGGGUUUGACAUACAAGUAGUAGGGAAAGGAAACUGGACCGACCCUUCGGGGAGCUUGAACAGGUGCUGCAUGGCUGUCGUCAGCUCGUGUCGUGAGAUGUUCGGUUAAGUCCGCUAACGAGCGCAACCCUCGCUGUGUGUUACAAGUGUCACACGGAACUGCCGGUCAUAAACCGGAGGAAGGUGGGGAUGACGUCAAGUCAGCAUGGCCUUUAUAUCCUGGGCUACACACACGCUACAAUGGGAAGGGACAAUAGGUUGCGAAACCGCGAGGUGGAGCCAAUCCAGCAAAACUUCCCUCAGUUCAGAUUGCAGGCUGCAACUCGCCUGCAUGAAGUUGGAGUUGCUAGUAAACGCAGGUCAGCCAUACUGCGUUGAAUACGUUCCCGGGGCUU